RNAcentral lists this long non-coding RNA (404 nucleotides) under Zea mays. RNAcentral's name for it is "long non-coding RNA (ZMAY_LNC001479)". Lineage: Eukaryota; Viridiplantae; Streptophyta; Magnoliopsida; Poales; Poaceae. The record is from RNAcentral.
CACGAACCGCAUUAAACGGCUAAAGCAACUUCCUCUUGAUAAUGUUGCUACAACACCCACAAACUGCAUUAUACGAGAUUCUUUCAGAGAGGAAAUGAAGGGCGUUGGGAAAAGAAAAACAAACGCAGCACGCGUCCUCAUCUCUCUGACGAAGCAACGCCGUCGAGGUCGACGAUAGUGAGUAGAAGAUUUGUACCUAAACGCUCCCAUCGAUUGGGAUGGUAUUGAGGAGCGGGAUGAUCCUGCGGCCACCCGAGCACCGGGCCACGACCACCCACCGCCGCACAGCCACCGGCUCUCGUCUGCGGCCUACCAGCUCCAGCUCGCCACCUCUCGCCGUAAGCCUACCUGUGUGUUGCUCCUGCCGUCCUGCAGCUCUAGUGUCGUGUGUCCUGCUCCGCUCC